Molecule: unclassified non-coding RNA, 179 nt
Filed under: fungal sp.
Lineage: Eukaryota; Fungi
Description: partial internal transcribed spacer region
Rfam family: Eukaryotic small subunit ribosomal RNA (bases 1-46)
Source: RNAcentral
AAGUCGUGACAAGGUUUCCGUAGGUGAACCUGCGGAAGGAUCAUUAAAAAUUUAUAUCCGGGAAUUCGUUUCGUUUUCCCGUGAUUAUUUGUAUUCAAAUCCCACUCUUUAUAAAUAUAUUAAUUAUAUAAAACAAAAAAUAAAAAAGAAAACUUUCAACAACGGAUCUCUUGGCUCUC